This 438-nucleotide long non-coding RNA is filed under the name Lathyrus oleraceus (garden pea). RNAcentral's name for it is "Pisum sativum (pea) long non-coding RNA (PSAT_LNC015733)". The record is from RNAcentral. Lineage: Eukaryota; Viridiplantae; Streptophyta; Magnoliopsida; Fabales; Fabaceae.
AGGGAAAGACUUGAGUUACUUCCAACAGGGGUCUAUUCGUCAGUCAAAACGUUAAUCUUAAAGGAGCAAAGGUUUGUUCAUGAGCUGUCAUGCUCGCUAGGCGAAGCCCACGUGUUAUGCAAACAAAAAAAAAACAAAAAAACAAAAAAAAAACGGAAAAAAAAACGAAACGAUUUUUUUUUAAUUAAAUAAAUCAAUAAAUAAAUAAAAAAUAUAAUGAAAAAAUCUCAGACUUGGACCUCUCUCAAAAGCCCACUAAGCUAUCAGUAUUAGUCUAUAAAUACCAAGGCUUCAUUUGAGAAAAAGGAGGAAGAACAGACAGAAAAAGGAAGGGAAGCAAAACACUCUGAGGUUUCCUUGGAACAAAACCCUGACCUAACCUGGGAAAAAGAUAGAGAGAGAAGAGCUAACAGAGUUUAGAGCAACCUCCAGACCCUG